This 915-nucleotide ribosomal RNA is filed under the name Triticum aestivum (bread wheat). RNAcentral's name for it is "partial small subunit ribosomal RNA". Lineage: Eukaryota; Viridiplantae; Streptophyta; Magnoliopsida; Poales; Poaceae. The record is from RNAcentral.
CGCCGUUGCUUCCUAAACUCCUCCACCGGUGAGUGCAUCCAACUGGACCUCCCGGAACUCCUUGACCAUGAGCUGCUCGCCGUCACCCCUGAGGGCCUCCUAGUUCUGCUUUACGACCACAACCACGUCCGCCUGCUCAACCCGCUCACUCGUCACCUCACAGAGCUACCGCCGCUCACCACGCUGCUUCCCUCUAAAGACCAUGACAUGCUUUCCCAUUUCGACAUAGGCAACUUCAUAGCGACUGGCUCUGGCAUUGCUAGUGAUGACUCAACAGUGGUGCUCUGUUUCAAUAAGCUCCACACGCUUGGCAUGGCCAAGCCCGGCGACGACCACUGGAUGUUGCUGGAAUACAGAACUGAUGGGCUUACAAGAAGGCCGUUAAUGUUUGCAGGAUGCUUCUACCACGUUAACGUUGAUGGUGUCAUGGUGCUGCAAUUCCGUCCAAACAAGCCACCUCGCCUGGAGGUGGCUGCCAAGUUGAAGAUGCAUGUCUCCCCAAUUUCGGAAAGUAUGCACCUCUUCAACAAUUGUGGUGAGCUGAUGGUCAUCCGCCGUGGGAUUGUACCAUUCACGUCGCGGAAUAAUUCGGGUUUUCACCAUCGGUACAACAUGUAUCGAGUGAAUUUGGAUACCGGCACACUAUCCCGUGUCAAGAGCUUGAGUGGUGGCGCAGGAAGAGCUUUGUUCUUGGGCAUUUAUUGCUUUUUCUCGGUGUCUCCAGAGGUUUUCCCCUCUGGCUCCAUUAGCGCUGACACCAUCUACCCGAGCUUUGACUUUGCCGAGAGAAGAUUGUUAAAAAUUGGAGCAUAUCAUCUUCCGUAUGGACGCAUCGAACAACCAUCUAGCUUGGUGCAGCGGCCAUAUACUCUCGUUGACUAUCUAUCUUUGUCCAAUACGGUCGAUCAUGGGUAG